AAGCCCAAAAUCCUCCAUGCUCUUCUCCUUCUCAUUCUCAAUACAGAGACGCGAGAACAGAACAAACCAAAGAACGAACCCAUUCCCAAAUUUGCCGCCUUAAAUUUCCCCUUUUUUACUUCAUAUUCGUACAAUCUGCGUGCUUAGCACGAGCCUAAAGACACUCGGAGCUUCCGGAGGCAACCAUGGUGUGGUCCAUUCCAAUUUCCUUUUUCUCUUCAUUUUCAUUUCAAAUUCGUACACUCCCCAGCUCAUACACCUUAUCCACUGCGAAAAUUGGAGAUUUCGGCCUCACCCACAUCGUUUCUCAAACGAUUUUCAAUUUGCAACAGUCCCAUAUCGAGAUUUCUUCCAUUUUGGAAUUUUUUUUGGUUUUUAUAUAAACCAACCCCAUUCACUGUUCAAAGGGACGGUUUUUGGAGAUUGAGAGUACCCCAAAAGGGUUUGGGAAUUCUCGGCUCAAUAGUUUAAAGUUUUGUGGCUUUUGUGAUCAUUCGAGUUGAAAGAGGUAGUGGAACCGUCUCCGUCAAACUCAUCGUCCGGUUCGCUGCCCACAACCAGGUAAUCUUCUCUUUAUUUCAACAUUUAUGUUGGCUCUUAAUUAUGUCUUGUUCAUUGAAAUGUGUUUGGCAUUAGCUGUUUAAGUAUUUUUCUAAUAGAUUAAAAAAAAUAGCAAAAUUGCUCAUCUUUGAACUCGGUUAAUUUAUAUGUAGGAUAGUCAUGCCUUAAUUUCAGCAUUUGCUAUUGUCUUGGGAUAAGUUUAAUUAGUGUUGAAUAGAGUUAGAGUUGUGAUUUUCAUGUUCAAGCAUUCCUAGCUAUUAGGUUGGAUUUUGUAACUUGAAUUCAUUUUGAUUUGGAAAGGCUUUUGAAGUAUCUAGUUUAUCUUGAUUGAUUAACCUAUCUAAGUGGUAAUGAAAAUCUGAAAUAUGGAGUUUAGUUUUAUCAGUUUUAAGGUUUUCAUCUUCUGUUUUUUUUUCUUUGAAGCCUGUAUUCGUUGUUGAAUGUCAUCUAUGUCUGUCUAUUUUGUAAAAUCUGUUGGUGUGAUUUGUCAAAUAACAGACCAUUGGCUUUCAAUGCCAAUCGAGAGCCUGUCUGAGUGAGAAAUUGCUUACCUUUGGGGCUGCUCUUUAACACUCUCCAAAGAGUUAGGCUGGGAUGGAUGAAAGCUCAUAUCAUAGCUUUUAUACGUCCUAAAAUUUAUUAGAUUACUCUACUUAGAUCCUUGUUUAAAUUCUCUAAGUUAUUUUAUAUCUCCUUGCUCUUUCUUGUUUGCCUUUCGUAUAUGCUAAAUGAAUUGGCUUAAAACUUGAUCAAGUUGAGUCUAAAGUUGUUUAUCUUUAAACUAUACUUGAAUCUGUUUCAAACUCCUUUUUGGUUUGAUCAAAGGUUGUGUUAAAGUAGGAGUAAGAAACCUCUGUUUAGUUGUUGUCAUAAUUAAGUUGUGGCUGCCUAUUGUUGUUAAGUGCCUCCAUCUUGGAAAUGUUAUUUUAUACACAGAUUCUAAAUUGCUUAUGAAAUUAUGUGGUGUUCAAAUAAUUUUGACAAUAUUAUAAAUAUGUUCUCGUGUUCAUUUACUGAUUUUAGGUGCAAAUAUACCACUCUUUUCUUUACUGUUUGUAGUUAAUCUAACCUCAACUGCCGUAAAUCUUCAAGUGCUACCCUUGAUUGCCCUUAGAUGUUCUUUGUUGUAAUUCUGGUUCAGUAACUCUAGAUAGAGUUUUGCUUGCUCUUGGUAGUUUUUUCUUUAUUGCUGUGUUUGAAUAUGGCUAUCUGUGUCAUGUCUUAAAUUAAUUCAUGUUGACAUCAGCUUGUUUCCUUAAGCAGUAAGUUCAUAUUUACUUGAUAUAGUUCUUUUCUCUAAUUUAUAUUUGCUUUAUCUUUAUUUUUUCUGUGAUCGAUAGUAGUAUAUGGUUAAGUUUGGUAUAAUUUUAGCCAUGAUAAACAUGCCAAUUAGAGUUUUGAGCUCACAUGACAUUGUUUGUUUUAAGCUCAAGUUGAUAUCAUUCAAAUGUUGUUAAUCUUUUUCCCUUUUUUCCUUGGCAUGAACUCUCUCGUUUGAGUCCAAUUGGACUCCUAUUCUUGCAUACUCCUCUCCUCGAGUCAACCUCCUUUAAGCCAAUUGAAAGGAGGUUAAUAUUACUGGGAUAAAACCUAAGAGCCAGCCACUACAGCAGCCUUGAAAGGCUGAGAAAUGAGAAGCGAAAUUGGGUUAAAAACCCAAAAUCAGAAGCAGCAACAGGGGCACAAAAGAGCUGAAAUGAGAGUGUUUUCGGUUCAAAUUGGCCGAAAUUAGAACACUUGGUUUUUGCACCAGUUUCAGUAGUCUCAAAAGGCUGGAAAUAUCAUUUUAGCACCAGCAGCAGCAAAUAAGAAGCAGAUUAAAUUGGUGUGAAGAUAGAGAAGUUUGGAGCUAAAAUGAAUUAAAAAUGAAAGGUUGAAGAAUGAAAGCAGAAAAUUUGAUGGAUUAAAUUGAACAUUAUAUUAAUAUUUAUAUACAUUCAAAUGUACGCAGAAUUGAAAGGAAGCAGAUUUUGAUAGACAAUUAUCUUGUUGCCACAUGGCACUGAAUGAAGGCACCUCCAAUUUCGUUAGCGCAAGGCGAGCCGAGGCUGCUGGACCACCAGAUUGUUGGACUGGCACCACAGACGAGAGCAGUCCUUUCUUUCAGUUAUUUGUUAUUCAACUAUAUUACAUACUCGAACAUUCAAUGUAUUGAUGUUAUUCAACCUGGAUCUUUUAAUGAUGCGGGUACAUGUUCUUAAGAUCCUUAACAAGAGUAUGUUGAGAUCCCUUCAUCCACUCGUCAGCUUUUGAGUAAGACCUCCUUGCUUCCGGAGGACUCCAGUUUUAUUGUUAGUAGUAAUUCUUUUGAGGAGUCGUGGGUCUUGUCCUGACACUCAUUUUUGUAUAGUAGAGGC
Solanum tuberosum (potato) is the source of this 2918-nucleotide long non-coding RNA. RefSeq lists it as uncharacterized. The transcript has 3 exons. Lineage: Eukaryota; Viridiplantae; Streptophyta; Magnoliopsida; Solanales; Solanaceae. The record is from RefSeq and is a predicted model, not a curated record.